UGGGGAAUAUUGGGCAAUGGGCGCAAGCCUGACCCAGCAACGCCGCGUGCGGGAAGAAGGUUUUCGGAUUGUAAACCUCUGUCGCAGAUGACGAAACAAAUGACGGUAAUCUGUGAGGAAGCCCCGGCUAACUACGUGCCAGCAGCCGCGGUAAUACGUAGGGGGCGAGCGUUGUCCGGAAUUACUGGUAGUAAAGGGAGCGUAGGCGGUUAAUUAAGUUGGAUGUGAAAUACCCGGGCUUAACUUGGGGGGUGCAUCCGAUACUGGUUGACUAGAGUACAGGAGAGGAAAGCGGAAUUCCUAGUGUAGCGGUGAAAUGCAUAGAUAUUAGGAGGAACAUCAGUGGCGAAGGCGGCUUUCUGGACUGACACUGACGCUGAGGCUCGAAAGCGUGGGGAGCAAACA
RNAcentral lists this ribosomal RNA (405 nucleotides) under uncultured prokaryote. RNAcentral's name for it is "bacterial SSU rRNA". It matches the Rfam family "Bacterial small subunit ribosomal RNA", at positions 355 to 774 of the family's 1533-position model. The record is from RNAcentral.